GGCCGGUUGGCCCAAUGGCAAGGCGUCUGACUACGAUUCUUCCCGAAGAUCGUGUUAUCAGGAGAUUCUGGGUUCGACCCCCAGGCUGGUCA
Molecule: transfer RNA, 92 nt
Filed under: Colletotrichum chlorophyti
Lineage: Eukaryota; Fungi; Ascomycota; Sordariomycetes; Glomerellales; Glomerellaceae
Rfam family: tRNA
About the family: Transfer RNA (tRNA) molecules are approximately 80 nucleotides in length.
Source: Rfam by way of RNAcentral